GGAGGAAAAGAAACCAACAGGGAUUGCCUCAGUAACGGCGAGUGAAGCGGCAAAAGCUCAAAUUUGAAACCCUCGGGAUUGUAAUUUGAAGAUUUGGCAUUGGAGAAAGCUAACCCAAGUUGCUUGGAAUAGUACGUCAUAGAGGGUGACAACCCCGUCUGGCUAACCGUUCUCCAUGUAUUGCCUUAUCAAAGAGUCGAGUUGUUUGGGAAUGCAGCUCAAAGUGGGUGGUAAACUCCAUCUAAAGCUAAAUACUGGUGAGAGACCGAUAGCGAACAAGUACUGUGAAGGAAAGGUGAAAAGAACUUUGAAAAGAGAGUGAAAUAGUAUGUGAAAUUGUUGAUAGGGAAGGAAAUGAGUGGAGAGUGGCCGAGGUUUCAGCCGCCCCUCGUGGGCGGUGUACUGCCGACGCCGAGUCAUCGAUAGCGAGACGAGGGUUACAAAUGGGAGCGCCUUCGGGCGUUCUCCCCUAACCCUCCACACUGCCACCGACGACAUAAUCCACCCAUUUCACCCGUC
This 519-nucleotide ribosomal RNA is filed under the name Yarrowia lipolytica. RNAcentral describes it as "eukaryotic LSU rRNA". It matches the Rfam family "Eukaryotic large subunit ribosomal RNA", at positions 52 to 653 of the family's 3401-position model. Lineage: Eukaryota; Fungi; Ascomycota; Dipodascomycetes; Dipodascales. The record is from RNAcentral.